Molecule: ribosomal RNA, 496 nt
Filed under: uncultured bacterium
Lineage: Bacteria
Description: partial 16S ribosomal RNA
Rfam family: Bacterial small subunit ribosomal RNA
Source: RNAcentral
GAUGAACGCUGGCGGCGUGCCUAAUACAUGCAAGUCGAGCGAACAGACGAGGAGCUUGCUCCUCUGACGUUAGCGGCGGACGGGUGAGUAACACGUGGAUAACCUACCUAUAAGACUGGGAUAACUUCGGGAAACCGGAGCUAAUACCGGAUAAUAUAUUGAACCGCAUGGUUCAAUAGUGAAAGACGGUUUUGCUGUCACUUAUAGAUGGAUCCGCGCCGCAUUAGCUAGUUGGUAAGGUAACGGCUUACCAAGGCGACGAUGCGUAGCCGACCUGAGAGGGUGAUCGGCCACACUGGAACUGAGACACGGUCCAGACUCCUACGGGAGGCAGCAGUAGGGAAUCUUCCGCAAUGGGCGAAAGCCUGACGGAGCAACGCCGCGUGAGUGAUGAAGGCCUUCGGAUCGUAAAACUCUGUUAUUAGGGAAGAACAAAUGUGUAAGUAACUAUGCACGUCUUGACGGUACCGAAUCAGAAAGCCACGGCUAACUACGU